AGCCCUUCACUGUCAGGCACGUUUGCACUGGUGUCUGCAACACGUGCACUGGAACCUGAACAUGUGGAGGAAUGUUAUGUUCAGCGAUGAGUCCAGAUUCUGCCUAGGGCACUUGGAUCACUCGGUGUGGAGAAGAUGCGGAGAGGGCUUUGCUGAUUGCGGCAUCUUUUGGUGGAGGCAGUGUGAUGGUGUGGUGUUGCAUCUCCCUCACUGAAAAAACAAGGCUUGUCAUCAUUGGAGGCAGUCUCAAUGCAGACAGAUAUUGAGAUGAAAUUCUGCAACCAGUGGCAAUCCCAUAUCUCCACAGUGAGGGACCAAACUCUAUACUCCGAGAUGACAACGCUUGCCCCCACUGAGCGAGGCUUAUCAGAGAGUACCUCCAGAACUUUGGAGUGGAGAGGAUGAAAUGGCCUGCCAGCAGUUGUGACCUCAACCCCAUUGAACACUUGUGGGAUCAGCUUGGGCGUGCUGUUCGUGCCAGAGUGACCAACGCAAACAUGUUGGCUGACUUGCGACAAAUGCUGGUUCAAGAAUGGGAUGCUGUUUGGCAUUAUCAGAGAAGAUUAGGCAAAUUUUUCAUUUAAAGGGCGCGACCCACAUACUCAGCUCUGCUGCUCAUCCCACAAAUGCAGGUUCCUUACCAAUGUGCCGCUAUUUAAAAUGGAAAUAAACAGACUUUCCAAUAGCAAGAUUUAUUGCCAAGAAGCAUUGUUACAACAAAGAAAUAAUCUACCCAACACAAAUUUACUUAUUGUCGUAGUUUAUUUGGUUUUCUCCCUUUUAAGCAAGUUUAUAAUCUCUGCUUAAUCUGUGCAUAUUAUUCCAACACCAGCUCCAAACAUCUGGUGCAAACACCUGGUAUCAAACCAAGCUCAAACUCGGGGGUCCGCUCUGCACUUUCACUUCACUUUCAGCAUCAGUCUGCAGCACUUCAUCCCCCAGUGCACGUCACAUUAUAGUUGAUUCUAAACUCACCAACAUGGUCCAUGUUGGAAGGAGGACCGUGUAUAUUCAACAUCAUGUGACCACGGGGGGGAGAGAGAGAGAGGGAGAGAGAGAGAGAGAGAGAGAUCCAUCCAUCCAUCCAUCCAUCCAUCCAUCUCCACUUGUGUGUAAUGGCUGUUUGCUGAAUGCUGUUUGUUGUUGUGCUGAAUAUUUACAUUCGCCCACACACCUUCAUUGGAUUACCAAAAACCUCUGCCUUCCAACUGAGACAACACUGCCGGCCAAAGGCCCAAGAGGGACCAGCCGAUCUUUAGGAGGCGGGGGGAAAACCCUAAUGCAAUUUGUAUGGCACGGAGCACUCGGCAACCAGAUGGGAGCCAGGCUGACUUACCUGAAGCAGUUUUCCUUAUUUACUUCAGCGCCCAAGGCCAUGUCAGACAAGGGGGAGAGAAACAUGUUAGCCCGAGCAAAUUAUCAGGGCUUUCAUGUGGGUUACGUUCUAUCAGAUCCUCCUACUCUGCAGAAUGUAAUGGAAGCAGAAGCAAAGUGCUCAGGGCCUUCACCUCCGACGUGUUCUCAUUCGAGGUAGGACAAGGUGUGUGUGGGAGAUAAAGGAGCAGGUCCCAGUCACUCCCAGCGUGAAGACUGUGGCAUAUAGAACAUUCUGCUCUUGCCAGUCAUCAGGGUCAGGAUAUUGGAUGGAGAGUAAUUACAACAAGGGUACUUUAGUAAGGGCACUGUGGUAAAUCACAGCCCUGCCUCUUUGUGUGUGUGCUAUUAAAGAAAGGUUAGACAAACUAAUUAUGGAAGGACAUUGUAAAUAGAAAAAUCCAUUGCUUUGAAUUAAUGUCCAUUUGAUGUAAUCAGUUGUGGCUUUUCUA
Molecule: long non-coding RNA, 1826 nt
Organism: Micropterus dolomieu (smallmouth bass)
Lineage: Eukaryota; Metazoa; Chordata; Actinopteri; Centrarchiformes; Centrarchidae
Exons: 3
Source: RefSeq, a predicted model, not a curated record